UCGGGAAUUUUGGGCAAUGGGCGAAAGCCUGACCCAGCAACGCCGCGUGAAGGAUGAAGUAUUUCGGUAUGUAAACUUCGAAAGAAUAGGAAGAAUAAAUGACGGUACUAUUUAUAAGGUCCGGCUAACUACGUGCCAGCAGCCGCGGUAAUACGUAGGGACCAAGCGUUGUUCGGAUUUACUGGGCGUAAAGGGCGCGUAGGCGGCAAUUCAAGUCAUCUGUGAAAUCUCCGGGCUUAACUCGGAACGGUCAGAUGAUACUGCUUUGCUAGAGUGCAGAAGGGGCAAUCGGAAUUCUUGGUGUAGCGGUGAAAUGCGUAGAUAUCAAGAGGAACACCUGAGGCGAAGACGGGUUGCUGGGCUGACACUGACGCUGAGGCGCGAAAGCCAGGGGAGCAAACGGGAUUAGAUACCCCUAGUAGUCCCUGAGCGGGCUGGCAAGGCGCAU
RNAcentral lists this ribosomal RNA (448 nucleotides) under uncultured bacterium. RNAcentral's name for it is "bacterial SSU rRNA". It matches the Rfam family "Bacterial small subunit ribosomal RNA", at positions 355 to 825 of the family's 1533-position model. The record is from RNAcentral.